UACUGCUCCGCCGUUGUUUGCGCCUAUCAACACUACAAGUCAAUACUACUUUGUCGGUGAGCAGAUAUAUAAAGUUGAAGCAAGAGACGAAUCCGACCCGGACUAUACAGCGGCAUCCACAUCAGCUAGAAACGGAAGCGAUUAUACGGCGGUAUCCAUUUCAGCGAGCGGUAGCUCCGAAUGCACAGCACCGGUCUAUGUCGUAAAUUCUCCUGAUAGUGCGAAUGUAACAGAUGGUACUUGUGAUACAAACGAUAGUAUUACAUCCAUUUCUGGAAAUGAGUCUAAUGUGCCCAAUGAAUCUAGCCUUGGCAUUUGCCAGCCGACAGAAGAUGGGAAAAGCUUGAAUGAAGCAGAGCAAUGUCAACAAAAAGUCCUCUUCAAUCAAUUGUACUAUCUAAUGCCAUUGGUUCUUCAAAGACGAUUUCUAACAAUAAUGAUAAUCUACCACACGAGUGCAAUGUGUUUUCAACGAAAACCUUGGAACAGUUGCUGAAACGCUCCGAAGAAGGAAAGGAAAUUUUGCAGUACGGAAUCAAAUCUGAGCUUUCGGAAGCGAAGCAGUUAGAACUCUCUAGAAAACUACUUCAUCUCAAGAAGCGGUGAUAGAAAGAACCAUGGCGGAAAAAUAGCCAACAAGAUUGGCAAUUUAAAGCAGAGAAAAAGGAAGCGAGAAACUAAAGAAAACGAAUACCAAGCAACAAAACAGUCUGCUAACGAUUGCCAGCCACCUCGGAACGCAGAAGCAGAGGAAGCAGCUGAAUGGUUGCUGUUGAACACUGAUCCAUGGUCUGUUGUUCUAGAAAGAUGGAAAAUCAGCUACGAAGCACGAAAGGAUGAUUUAUUAUCCCAAAAGCGUAUCACCAGAAUUCUUACGACAUAUCCGCAAUACAGAUGCCCACAUGGUUUCCAACUGAUCGACAUUGAUUUCCAAAAAUGUUUUCCUAAAGCUGAAAACGGAUUAAAGAAACUGCAAUUUUUGGUGCCACUGAUCACGGAAUACAUUUCAAAGAAAGCUGUCGACCCAUCUGCGGUAUCGUUGCUUGAGGGACUGACUACUGAUAACGCAAGUAUUGGUAAGAUA
Molecule: long non-coding RNA, 1084 nt
Organism: Armigeres subalbatus
Lineage: Eukaryota; Metazoa; Arthropoda; Insecta; Diptera; Culicidae
Exons: 3
Source: RefSeq, a predicted model, not a curated record